UGCAGCAGUCACAUCACCCUGCAGCCCAAGACUGGUAACUUAUUGAAGCGAAGCAGGGCUGAGCCUGGUCCGUAACUGCAUGGGAGACCACAUGGGAAGACUAGGUUGUUGUUGCAA
Molecule: ribosomal RNA, 117 nt
Organism: Danio rerio (zebrafish)
Lineage: Eukaryota; Metazoa; Chordata; Actinopteri; Cypriniformes; Danionidae
Source: Ensembl